CACGAGAUUCCCACUGUCCCUGCUCACAGAUUUGCGAACCUACAGCCAAGGGAACGGGCUUGGGACAUGCAGCGGGGAAAGAAGACCCUGUUGAGCUUGACUCUAGCCAAGCACAGGCCUCUGUGACUAUAUCGUAGCGAGGUGGGAGAAAUGUGUGAGACCACUGACAUAGUCGGCGGGGGCACUCGCAAAGCUUGGUGGGGAGUUUGGCUGGGGCGGCACGACUACUAAAACAUAACGUAGACGUCCAAAGGUAAGCUCCGAGGGGAUGGAAACCACUCCGAGAGUAUAAGGGCAAAAGCUUGCUUUAGUUAUUAAUGUAAAUUAAUAAUACUGGAAACAGGGGCCUAGAGAUCCUCUAUGAAACUAAGCAUAGAGGUGACGGAAAAGUUACCACAGGGAUAACUGGCUUGUGGCGGCCGAGCGUCCAUAGCGACGCCGCUUUUUGAUUCUUCGAUGUCCGCUCUUCCGAGCAUGGUGGAAUAUCAGCCACCAAGUGUGUGAUUGUUCACCAACUAACAGGGAACGUGAGCUGGGUUUAGACCGUCGCGAGACAGGUUAGUUUUACCCUACUGCAUCGCGUCCGAAAGUAAGUCGGGGCAGUACCAGAGGAAGUGCCGAUCAGAACCGCUGGUGAUACUUUCGUCUGUUAAAGCGCGAAGUGUAACUACCUUCUUCUUAUAUAGCUGAAACCUCUAAGCUAGAUGAGUACUUAAGACGCAAGAAUGAAACUACUUGUAGGAUGAGGUUGUCGAUAUAACUCUGCAGAUUUAACCACUAUUCUUUUUAACAGCUGCCGGAACUACAGAUCCGGGAAGGAAAUUUUUUUUUGCCGUCG
Molecule: ribosomal RNA, 838 nt
Organism: Enterocytozoon bieneusi H348
Lineage: Eukaryota; Fungi; Microsporidia; Enterocytozoonidae
Rfam family: Eukaryotic large subunit ribosomal RNA
Source: Rfam